UCAGAGGGUCGGAUGACUGCUUGCGCCUUACGCGCCAGAGGAAAGUCCGGGCUUCAUGGAAAUAUGGUGCCGGGUAACGCCCGGGAGGCGCGAGCCUACGGAAAGUGCAGCAGAGAGUAGACCGCCUGCCUAGCAGGUAAGGGUGAAAGGGUGCGGUAAGAGCGCACCGCGUGGCUGGCAACAGUUCAUGGCAUGGUAAACCCCACCAGAAGCAAGACCAAAUAGGAACCGUAUGAUAGCGUAUUUCCACGCUGCGGUUCGGGUCGGUCGCACGAGGGACUUGGCAACACGUCCCCUAGAUGAAUAGUCAUCCUCGACAGAACCCGGCUUAUAGACCCUCUGACCUU
Molecule: RNase P RNA, 347 nt
Filed under: Micavibrio sp.
Lineage: Bacteria; Pseudomonadati; Bdellovibrionota; Bdellovibrionia; Bdellovibrionales; Pseudobdellovibrionaceae
Description: RNase P RNA component class A
Rfam family: Bacterial RNase P class A
About the family: Ribonuclease P (RNase P) is a ubiquitous endoribonuclease, found in archaea, bacteria and eukarya as well as chloroplasts and mitochondria.
Source: RNAcentral